This 2859-nucleotide long non-coding RNA is filed under the name Volvox carteri. RNAcentral's name for it is "long non-coding RNA (VCAR_LNC001173)". Lineage: Eukaryota; Viridiplantae; Chlorophyta; Chlorophyceae; Chlamydomonadales; Volvocaceae. The record is from RNAcentral.
AACUGCUAGUAAAGCACGUAAUGACGAACACGUGAGGUAGGGGCAAACAACUCCAGGCCUGGCUUCUGCUCCCGACGUGUUCCGGCGCGUCCGGGUUCAAAUCCGCCUGCCGACCUCUCGGGGUGUUUGAGAGGUGAUGAAAUGGGAGGUGGCUCCCCAUCUUAUGGACGGUGUAGGACGUGAUAAAAUCAACUCGCGAGCUGACCAGGAACUAAGUUGACGCGCCGUUGAUCCGCUAGAUCUGGUUGGAUGCUGGUGGUGAGUUGCCAAACUCAAAGAGUACACGCUGAAGUCGGAUGGGGUGAAUGGCUUAGGGUGCCCCUCUAGCAGGGGAGAGCAGGGAAUUGCCUCGGGAAGGAGNNNNNNNNNNNNNNNNNNNNNNNNNNNNNNNNNNNNNNNNNNNNNNNNNNUUCAGACUUAUCUUGCUGUUUUUGUGUUUGUUCGGCGUUCAAGUCGUUGCCUUUUGCGUGUUUGUCUAUGGAAGGACCGGUCAUACAUUCUGCUAUGCCGCGUUGACUCACGGGCUUGACCUUCUUACGGCCCCUCAUAUCUAUUUUAUGAUCGAUAAUACUAAGUUCUGCACACUACGGAGCAAUCUGGCAGCAAUGGACGUUUUUGGCUGAAGGAAUGAAAAUGUACGGAUCGGCCUCACUUUGUUCCUUAUUUCCAAAGGCCAAAAAGGCCUCUUUAUUCCUUAAAAGUAAUAUAUUACUUAAAAAAAAAACACUGCCGUUGGGUCCUAUUACUGUGGCUACCAUUCACUGGUAUAUGAGUGUCGGUCAUUUCCAACACCCCCCCGUGAGCGACACUCCAUCGCUACGGGCCGUCCCGUGCCUCAUCCCGGUCUCCCAUUCUCUAGGCAACAGCCAGUGGGUAUCGAUCCGGCGACCUCUCGGCAGCGCAAUGCGCCAUUCGGGGCUCAUUUCUUAUUGACGAAUUGGCGACGGAGACAGCUAACGCUGAUUGUUAUUCCGGAAGGAUUGCCGGUGGCGAAGAUAUUUUGCACAAUAAAAUAUUACAAGUAAUGUAAAGAGUAUUAUUAGCGUUCGGCAGGACUUGAGGAGAUUCCUAUGAGGAAUACCGAUCGUAGUGAGAUAAACAAAUAAGCGCAGUCACCGCCCUAAAUACCGGCGCUAGCGGAAAACUCGUACAUUCCGCGAUCUAACUGCACGUACAUUCCGCGAUCUCACUGCGCCGUCCUGACGGUGCCCAAAUGUCUAUCACUUAGCUACAGUAUAUGCAUCGGUAGCCCAUAAGGUUCUGGGUUAAGUCUUCCCCAUUAGUCAGGCGCAGUCUCAGGGUCAAGACCCCUGGUUGACAACCAUACGAGUUGGGAGAGGACCGUUUCCUCAACAAAGGUCACGCACCUUGAAGACUUUCGCUAUUGCGGCUUUAAUUGCCCGGACCAUUUCCGGGUCUUCUGACGCAAUAAUGGUGUCAUCUACGUGCACCAAAGCAAUAACAGGCAGGCGGCUGGCAGAGGUUAAGGCCUGACUUCUGCUCCCGGUCGACCUGGGUUCAAAUCCGCCUGCCGACCUCUCGGGUGUUUGAGAGGUGGUGAAAUGGGAGGUGGCCCCCCAUCUUGUGGACGGUGUAGGACGUGAUAAAAUCAACUUGCGAGCUGUCCAGGAACUAGGUUGAGGCGCCGUUGAUCCGCUAGAUUUGGUUGGAUGCUGGUGGUGAGUUGCCAAACUCAAAGAGUACACGCUGAAGUCGGAUGGGGUGAAUGGCUUAGGGUGCCCCUCUAGCAGGGGAGAGCAGGGAAUUGCCUCGGGAAGGAGGCCACUGGUGAAGCUUAACCACCCUGUAACAACAUCAACAACCCCACGCUCGUCCGUCUUAACGAACAUCGCCGAAUCAGACUUCGAAGGAUAAAGACCCAGCUUGGCGAACUCUGCUGAUAGCUUUACAUACCAUGGCAGGCGGCUGGCAGAAGUUAAGGCCUGACUUCUGCUCCCAGUCGAUCCAGUCGACCCGGGUUCAAAUCCGCCUGCCAGCUCCUCGGGUAUUUGAGGAGUGAUGAAAUGGGAGGUGGCCCCCCAUCAUAUGGACGGUGUAGGACGUGAUAAUAUCAACUUGCGAGCUGACCAGGAACUAAGUUGAUGCGCCGUUGAUCCGCUAGAUUUGGUUGGAUGCUGGUGGUGAGUUGCCGAACCCAACGAAUACAUUCUGAAGUCGGAUGGGGUGACGGAUUAGGGUGCCCCUCUAGCAGGGGAGAGCAGGGACUGCCCCGGGAAAGGGGGCCGCUGGCGAAGUUAACCACCCUGUAAUAACAUACAUACCAGCAACGGGGUGCCUGCUUCAAACCGUAAAUAGACCUCUCCAGCUUGCACGCAAGCGACCGGUCACUGGAUGCAUACCCAGGCGGUUGCUCCAUCCACAACUCCUCCUUCAACUCGCCAUUCAAAAAUGCAGUAGACACAUCGAGCUGGUGCACCGUCAUGUUCCGCGCUGCGGCAACUGCUAGUAAAGCACGUAAUGACGAACACGUGAGGUAGGGGCAAACAACUCCAGGCCUGGCUUCUGCUCCCGACGUGUUCCGGCGCGUCCGGGUUCAAAUCCGCCUGCCGACCUCUCGGGGUGUUUGAGAGGUGAUGAAAUGGGAGGUGGCUCCCCAUCUUAUGGACGGUGUAGGACGUGAUAAAAUCAACUCGCGAGCUGACCAGGAACUAAGUUGACGCGCCGUUGAUCCGCUAGAUCUGGUUGGAUGCUGGUGGUGAGUUGCCAAACUCAAAGAGUACACGCUGAAGUCGGAUGGGGUGAAUGGCUUAGGGUGCCCCUCUAGCAGGGGAGAGCAGGGAAUUGCCUCGGGAAGGAGGCCACUGGUGAAGCUUAACCACCCUGUAACAACAUCAACUC